This 481-nucleotide ribosomal RNA is filed under the name uncultured bacterium. RNAcentral describes it as "partial 16S ribosomal RNA". It matches the Rfam family "Bacterial small subunit ribosomal RNA", at positions 30 to 507 of the family's 1533-position model. The record is from RNAcentral.
AUUGAACGCUGGCGGCAUGCCUUACACAUGCAAAUCGAACGGUAACGGGCCUUCGGGUGCCGACGAGUGGCGAACGGGUGAGUAAUACAUCGGAACGUGCCCGAUCGUGGGGGAUAACGAGGCGAAAGCUUUGCUAAUACCGCAUACGAUCUACGGAUGAAAGCAGGGGACCGCAAGGCCUUGCGCGGACGGAGCGGCCGAUGGCAGAUUAGGUAGUUGGUGGGAUAAAAGCUUACCAAGCCGACGAUCUGUAGCUGGUCUGAGAGGAUGAUCAGCCACACUGGGACUGAGACACGGCCCAGACUCCUACGGGAGGCAGCAGUGGGGAAUUUUGGACAAUGGGCGCAAGCCUGAUCCAGCCAUGCCGCGUGCAGGAUGAAGGCCUUCGGGUUGUAAACUGAUUUUGUACGGAACGAAAAGCCUUCUUUAAUACAGGAGGGUCAUGACGGUACCGUAAGAAUAAGCACCGGCUAACUACGUG